GUUGAAACACGGGUUCACAUAUGAUCACCGAAGUUAAGCAACAUUGAGCCUGGUCAGUACCUAAAUGGGUGACCAUUUGGAAAUACCAAGUGCUGUAG
This is a non-coding RNA of Acanthosepion pharaonis, 98 nucleotides long. The record is from the annotation of a GenBank genome assembly. Lineage: Eukaryota; Metazoa; Mollusca; Cephalopoda; Sepiida; Sepiidae.